AGCCACGGUAAUACCCGCUCCCCGAGUGGUGGGGACGCUUAUUGGGCCUAAAGCAUCCGUAGCCGGCUGGAUAAGUCCCCUGUUAAAUCCAGCGAUUCAAUCGCUGGACCGCGGGGGAUACUGUCCAGCUAGGGGGCGGGAGAGGCCGGCGGUAUUCCCGGGGUAGGGGUGAAAUCUUAUAAUCCCGGGAGGACCACCAGUGGCGAAGGC
This 210-nucleotide ribosomal RNA is filed under the name uncultured archaeon. RNAcentral's name for it is "partial 16S ribosomal RNA". It matches the Rfam family "Archaeal small subunit ribosomal RNA", at positions 463 to 673 of the family's 1478-position model. The record is from RNAcentral.